AUUGAACGCUAGCGGGAUGCUUUACACAUGCGAGUCGAACGGCAGCGCGGACUUCGGUCUGGCGGCGAGUGGCGAACGGGUGAGUAAUGUAUCGGAACGUGCCCAGUAGCGGGGGAUAACUACGCGAAAGCGUAGCUAAUACCGCAUACGCCCUACGGGGGAAAGCAGGGGAUCGUAAGACCUUGCACUAUUGGAGCGGCCGAUAUCGGAUUAGCUAGUUGGUGAGGUAACGGCUCACCAAGGCGACGAUCCGUAGCUGGUUUGAGAGGACGACCAGCCACACUGGGACUGAGACACGGCCCAGACUCCUACGGGAGGCAGCAGUGGGGAAUUUUGGACAAUGGGGGCAACCCUGAUCCAGCCAUCCCGCAUGUGCGAUGAAGGCCUUCGGGUUGUAAAGCACUUUUGGCAGGAAAGAAACGUCGCGGGCUAAUACCCCGUGGAACUGACGGUACCUGCAGAAUAAGCACCGGCUAACUACGUG
RNAcentral lists this ribosomal RNA (484 nucleotides) under uncultured bacterium. RNAcentral describes it as "partial 16S ribosomal RNA". It matches the Rfam family "Bacterial small subunit ribosomal RNA", at positions 30 to 507 of the family's 1533-position model. The record is from RNAcentral.